This 77-nucleotide transfer RNA is filed under the name Actinobacteria bacterium HGW-Actinobacteria-8. RNAcentral's name for it is "tRNA-Val". It matches the Rfam family "tRNA". Rfam says of the family: Transfer RNA (tRNA) molecules are approximately 80 nucleotides in length. Their secondary structure includes four short double-helical elements and three loops (D, anti-codon, and T loops). Further hydrogen bonds mediate the characteristic L-shaped molecular structure. tRNAs have two regions of fundamental functional importance: the anti-codon, which is responsible for specific mRNA codon recognition, and the 3' end, to which the tRNAs corresponding amino acid is attached (by aminoacyl-tRNA synthetases). tRNAs cope with the degeneracy of the genetic code in two manners: having more than one tRNA (with a specific anti-codon) for a particular amino acid; and 'wobble' base-pairing, i.e. permitting non-standard base-pairing at the 3rd anti-codon position. The record is from RNAcentral. Lineage: Bacteria; Bacillati; Actinomycetota.
GGGCCCUUAGCUCAGUUGGUUAGAGCACUGCGUUUACACCGCAGGUGUCAUCGGUUCGAGUCCGGUAGGGCCCACGA